CAGGAAAUAGUUCAAUGGUAGAAUACUGGUUUUGGAUAUCAGUGGUUGAUUGUUCAAGUCAGUCUUUCCUGA
This 72-nucleotide transfer RNA is filed under the name Capsaspora owczarzaki. Its description in RNAcentral is "tRNA-Pro". It matches the Rfam family "tRNA". From Rfam's summary of the family: Transfer RNA (tRNA) molecules are approximately 80 nucleotides in length. The record is from RNAcentral. Lineage: Eukaryota; Filasterea; Ministeriida; Capsasporidae.